UUUACAUCGAGAGCAGAGAGGUAGAGGAGAGGGGAGAGAUGGAGAGGGAAAUGAAUGUAGUUAUAUUUCCCAUCUUUUUCUCUUCAGAACUUCAUCUCAUCAGUAGUGUC
RNAcentral lists this microRNA precursor (110 nucleotides) under Brugia malayi. RNAcentral's name for it is "microRNA bma-mir-9510 precursor". Lineage: Eukaryota; Metazoa; Nematoda; Chromadorea; Rhabditida; Onchocercidae. The record is from miRBase by way of RNAcentral.